UNAACGAUGAGUGCUAGGUGUUAGGCCCUUUCCGGGGCUNAGUGCCGGAGCUAACGCAAUAAGCACUCCGCNUGGGGAGUACGACCGCAAGGUUGAAACUCAAAGGAAUUGACGGGGGCCCGCACNAGCGGUGGAGCAUGUGGUUUAAUNNGAAGCAACGCGAAGAACCUUACCAGGUCUUGACAUCCCGAUGCUANUNUUAGAGAUAGGAAGUUACUUCGGUACAUCGGAGACAGGUGGUGCAUGGUUGUCGUCAGCUCGUGUCGUGAGAUGUUGGGUUAAGUCCCGCAACGAGCGCAACCCUUAUUGUUAGUUGCCAUCAUUAAGUUGGGCACUCUAGCGAGACUGCCGGUAAUAAACCGGAGGAAGGUGGGGAUGACGUCAAAUCAUCAUGCCCCUUAUGACCUGGGCUACACACGUGCUACAAUGGUCGGUACAACGAGUUGCGAGCCGGUGACGGCAAGCUAAUCUCUGAAAGCCGAUCUCAGUUCGGAUUGGAGGCUGCAACUCGCCUCCAUGAAGUCGGAAUCGCUAGUAAUCGCGGAUCAGCACGCCGCGGUGAAUACGUUCCCGGGCCUUGUACACACCGCCCGUCACACCACGAGAGUUUGUAACACCCGAAGUCGGUGAGGUANCCUUUUAGGG
Molecule: ribosomal RNA, 645 nt
Filed under: uncultured bacterium
Lineage: Bacteria
Description: bacterial SSU rRNA
Rfam family: Bacterial small subunit ribosomal RNA
Source: RNAcentral